RNAcentral lists this ribosomal RNA (485 nucleotides) under uncultured archaeon. RNAcentral's name for it is "bacterial SSU rRNA". It matches the Rfam family "Archaeal small subunit ribosomal RNA", at positions 379 to 865 of the family's 1478-position model. The record is from RNAcentral.
AUCCGAGUGAUUUCUGCUAAAGGAAUCUUUUGUUAGUCCUAGAAACACUAACGAAAAAGGGGUGGGCAAGUUCUGGUGUCAGCCGCCGCGGUAAAACCAGCACCUCAAGUGGUCAGGAUGAUUAUUGGGCCUAAAGCAUCCGUAGCCGGCUCUGUAAGUUUUCGGUUAAAUCUGUACGCUUAACGUACAGGCUGCCGGGAAUACUGCACAGCUAGGGAGUGGGAGAGGUAGACGGGACUCGGUAGGAAGUGGUAAAAUGCUUUGAUCUAUCGAUGACCACCUGUGGCGAAGGCGGUCUACCAGAACACGUCCGACGGUGAGGGAUGAAAGCUGGGGGAGCAAACCGGAUUAGAUACCCGGGUAGUCCCAGCUGUAAACUAUGCAAACUCAGUGAUGCAUUGGCUUGUGGCCAAUGCAGUGCUGCAAGGAAGCCGUUAAGUUUGCCGCCUGGGAAGUACGUACGCAAGUAUGAAACUUAAAGGAAU